Molecule: non-coding RNA, 33 nt
Submitted as: unclassified sequences
Source: Rfam
AAAAGGGAAGCCGAAAACUUUACAGAGUAGGCG